Molecule: long non-coding RNA, 1609 nt
Organism: Limanda limanda (common dab)
Lineage: Eukaryota; Metazoa; Chordata; Actinopteri; Pleuronectiformes; Pleuronectidae
Exons: 4
Source: RefSeq, a predicted model, not a curated record
UCCUUCAGCGGAUACCUGUCACCGUCAAACUCCGCUGCUUUUACCCACUGUGGUGUAUACAUUUAUUUACCUAAUCUAUAAUAUAAUGUACUACACUUUCCGUGAGUACACAUCCUAGUAGAAGUAGUGAAAGAAGUAUUCCGAGCGUUUAGAUGCCACUCCUAGCAACAGCGCUCUUAAAAGCAGCUGGGCUGAGCACCUGGUAUGUAUGGAGUUGGACAUAUUUAUUGAUUACUGUAGGGAGGAGUGGUCGGAGACGUCGAGGCUCCCUCGCUGCAUCCCCAGCAUAGAAAGCAAGCAACUCAAGGAAAGAGACGUUGCCGGAUCACCCCGUGGACCCGGGUCACCCUACAACUCGCACCGCUGCAACUCUCUAAUGACUCGCCACACAGGGAACUGGAAACUCAGCCGGCAGCCCCCCCGGCCGGCGAGCGGGCCGACCACCAGCCGGCUUCAUGCUCUCUCGUCCCUCAGAUCUCCUUAAAGCUGCGCAGUGGGAGCCUCAUUUAGAUGGCAGACGAGUCUUUUGAGCGCAGAGCAGCCUGAAGUCUCUGUGGACCGCUGCAGCUCUGGAAGGAGGACGUAAAUGAAGGCACCAGACAAUGCAACAAACCAAGAGGUCCCUGCACCCCACAGACAAGCCAGAGGACUCUAAUAAACAAACACACAGCCGCCAUCAUUAACGCGACUGUGAGUCAUAAUCCUCCUCUUCCUCACAAAGAAAAAGGUUUCAAUUUUUUUCCGUACCAGGGGGGAAGAAUCCAAUUUUCCGCUUUCUGCUCGGCACCACAUCUGUACAGCAUCUCGGCGAAGCUGAAUCAGAUUCAAGUGCACCGCUUUAUUGCAUUUUACUGCUGCUCCACUGUUCCCUAUAGAAUGAGAUGAUGAUAUUUGGAGAUAAGCGCCGCUCUAAGAAAAUAAGCUUUUAUGGUCAUGGAAAUGAUAUUAGAAGACGGAGGUGCAGUAGUUGCUUUUUAAGUUGAAUUCUCAAAACUCACUCCUUCACUGUCUCGGGGGCGAGUAAAACAUUUAGACAAUCACAUCUGUCAUCCAUUAUGAUUCUAGUGAAGUGUGGUGCAGAGAGAUGAGCACUGGUGCGCGUUAGAAACAUAUUCUGAUAUCUUUCUGUCUCUUUUACUCGCAGAGAGAAGUUUGUACUCUCACUCUGUCUUUGUUUUUAAUUCCCAUAUUUGGAGUUAGUAAACCAUUUAGUCAAUAACUUCCCUCAUGAGUGGAAAAAAAGAGAGAGGGAGAAAUGUUGGCAAUCUUCCAGAAGCUGAGACCUGUAUUUGGGAUGAUCCUUCCCGGUCUCACAUGAGGGAUUAGUCUGGAAAAGGGAACAGGUCGAACCAGCGUUGUGGUAUUUGUUGGAGUGAGGUCUUGUGUCCAGGCUCAGACUCUUCCUGUGUAUCUUCACCCUCAUCUCUCAGUAUUCACACUCAUAGGCCUACAGCUCAUUAAUGAUAUUAAACCUUCAGUGUAAAUCGUGAUGUUCAGUCAGGAAGAGCAACACAACCCCACUCUGUUGACUGCUUUGCAUUGCUCCAGUACGUCCCCCACUUCCUCUCUCCCACUCUUCCACACUGUCUCUUUCUCCCUCCUCCUACCU